UUUUGGCGCAAUUGGUGACACUGUUUUUAAAGGUGAUAUUUAAAACAAGGAUUCGGCAAAAAGUUACUUGAUAUUCUAGUAGCAGUGACGUUUUCGCCAGCAUCACAACGACCAUGCUCGUUACCAAAUAAAUUUUUGUGCCACAGACGCUAUAAGUGCAACUUAGUUCUUUAAUUGAUCCUAUAUAUGAUUCUAUACACAUAGUACAAAAUCGUAACAACAUUUAUUUUGCAAUUAUUAUAAGCUCUGAUAGUAGUAGAACACAUAAAAUGAUCAAUGGUCCAGACUUUCUUUGUUACUGGUAGGUGAAGGAGACAUGUAAUGAUUGAUCCUCCACACUUUCUUUGUUACUGCUAGGUGAAGGACACUUCAAUGAUUGAUCGUCCACACUUUCUUUGUUACUGAUAGGUGAAGGAGACUUGCAAUGAUCGAUCGUCCACACUUUCUCUGCUAUUGCUAGGUGAAGAAGACAUGCAAUGAUUGAUCCUCCACACUUUCUUUGUUACUGCUAGGUGAAGGAGACAUGCAAUGUUUCAGAUCGAUGGUCCACACUUUCUUUGUUACUGCUAGGAACAGAUGUAAUGAUUGAUCGUUCACACUUUCUUUGUUACUGGUAGGUGAAGGAGACUUGCAAUGAUCGAUCGUCCACACUUUCUCUGCUAUUGCUAGGUGAAGAAGACAUGCAAUGAUUGAUCCUCCACACUUUCUUUGUUACUGCUAGGUGAAGGAGACAUGCAAUGUUUCAGAUCGAUGGUCCACACUUUCUUUGUUACUGCUAGGAACAGAUGUAAUGAUUGAUCGUUCACACUUUCUUUGUUACUGGUAGGUGAAGGAGACUUGCAAUGAUCGAUCGUCCACACUUUCUCUGCUAUUGCUAGGUGAAGAAGACAUGCAAUGUUUCAGAUCAAUGGUCCACACUUUCUGUGUUACUGCUAGGAACAGACGUAAUGUUUCCAACGGAUAUUUAGUUCUGUGGAAGUUGCUAAGCAAGCUAAGGCGUUGGCUAAGCAACUAUAUAAUGACGAAUAAUUGAACCACAUUUUGUUGCUGCUAAGCGAAAAUACAUGUAAUGAGUAUUUUCAAAAUAACUGUAACCUUAUAACCAAAUAAAUGUUUGUCAAUGUUAUUAUUUUGUACCAUGUUAGACUU
This is a long non-coding RNA of Cylas formicarius (sweet potato weevil), 1149 nucleotides long. RefSeq lists it as uncharacterized. The record is from RefSeq and is a predicted model, not a curated record. The transcript has 15 exons. Lineage: Eukaryota; Metazoa; Arthropoda; Insecta; Coleoptera; Brentidae.